This is a long non-coding RNA of Armigeres subalbatus, 491 nucleotides long. RefSeq lists it as uncharacterized. The transcript is spliced from 3 exons. The record is from RefSeq and is a predicted model, not a curated record. NCBI's taxonomy places the organism in Eukaryota, Metazoa, Arthropoda, Insecta, Diptera, Culicidae.
UUAAUGUUUUGCUAAAAUUCUGGUUAAAAACAAGAAAAAUAUUUGAAUUAAGUCGAGACACUGUAGACAACGAAAUACAUAUUGGUUGCGGUGGUUGAAUUUGAUGGAUUAGUACUAAAUUAUGUUAUGACAAUAAGUAAAGCCAUUUAACUAAAAAGAUCCAAAUUACAUUCUUAUAAAGAAUAAUCGAGGUACUUGAUUCUUUAUGAAAAAAUCUUUAUAUUUAGCAUAUGUCUAUCUGGUAGCCCAUAGGGAGAAGCAUCGGAUUAGAAAAUGUGUUCCUAUUGACAGAGCCCGAGUUCUGCAAGGAGAAAACACCAAUAUCGCAGCAAUCCAACAAUUUUUAUCAGAGGACUCGAGAUCUCGGAACAUCAAAAAAUUCAAUGGUCAGAAGCUCACCGAUACAAUAACCACCAUCUUAUUACCAGAAUGCCUCAUCAGAACGUUUAAUUCCUUCGAAGAGACAUGCAUACCGGCAAGCUGGAAUCAAC